UACGUAGGGUGCAAGCGUUAAUCGGAAUUACUGGGCGUAAAGCGUGCGCAGGCGGUUUUGUAAGUCUGUCGUGAAAGCCCCGGGCUCAACCUGGGAAUUGCGAUGGAGACUGCAAGGCUUGAAUCUGGCAGAGGGGGGUAGAAUUCCACGUGUAGCAGGUGAAAUGCGUAGAGAUCCGGAGGAACCCAGAGGCGAAGGCGGCAGCCUCGGUUCGUACCUGACGCUCGGACACGACAGCAUGGGGAGCGAACGGG
Molecule: ribosomal RNA, 254 nt
Filed under: uncultured bacterium
Lineage: Bacteria
Description: partial 16S ribosomal RNA
Rfam family: Bacterial small subunit ribosomal RNA
Source: RNAcentral